AUUAAAAUGACUUAGGAAAAGAUGUUUUAGAAGUGGUAUUUAAGCACAAAUUCCUGGUACAGAGAUUUGAACAUCAAAUUAUCUGUAACAUAUAUAAUUAUUUAUAUAUAUAUGCUAUGUUUGAAGAGAAUUGCUUAUGUGUGUACACGUAUGUGCACGCCCAUGGGCAUUGAACCCAGGGCCUUGUGCAUGCUGAGUACUCUGGAGCUGAGCUACAUCCCCAGCCUUGAAGGGAAAGAUUUCUGGUCACAAAGGAACUCGUAGGCACAAUAGCAGGAAAUAGUCAUUUUAUUUUUGACAAUUUAGUGUCUUAAAUACUCAGUAAAUACUACAUUUUGACAUUUGGAUAAAAUUAUUUUUUAAAUGGAGAUGGUUUUAAUUUUUAUGUAGAGUUUCCUUUUUACUAUGUUUGACCCUAAUGGGUUUUUAAGCUCUUUAAGGUAUGGCAGUUUACUUUAUUCAUCCAUAAAUGCUCAACAUAGUACCUAACAGUAAAUGUUUACCAAAUUUUUGAGCAGUUCAAAAAACUAAGCAGUUAUAACCCUGAUACAUUACCUUCGGACCAAUGACCACAACCAUGGGUCUCACAACCAGCAUAGAUUUCAGAGAAAUAAUUGAUCCUCCCCUACCUCCCAAAAUAGUCUGGAAACUCAUGUUUUAAGCUCCCCAACCCCAUUCCUCAUUUGCAAAUAAUGAAAUGGUAUAUAGAUUUUAAGUACCUUGGAAUUUUUUUAAUUCAUCCAGUCAGCCACUUUUCUUCCUAGCAUACUACUCAACAUGUGGAAUCCUUAUUAAUGGAGGGCAUUCGUUCUAACUGCCUUACAGCUGAAGGCUUUGUUUUAUAAGUUUGGCCUUCAUGGUUAACCCUACUUACAGGACACCUGCUUUUGCUUCUGAUUAAAAUGUUACUUUUAUAAGCAGUUUUUAUUGUGGAAAGUGCACAUAACAAAAUUUACCAUUUGACCAGUAAGCAGGCAGUUGGCUCAACAUACGUUUUUCUUGUGUGACAGUAGCAUCAUCCAUUUCCAGAAGGUUUUUUUUUUUUGUUUCUUUUCAUUUUCCCAAACUGACGCUUAAUAACUCCCCAUUUCCUACCUGUAGCAACCAUACCAGUCUACUUUUUAUAAAUUUAACCACUUUAGACACGUAAGUAUAAGUGGAAUAGUAUGAUAUUUGACCUUUUGUGACUGGUUCAAAGUGCUUUAUAGAAAUUGGUUUGGUUUAUACUUUGGUUUGAGUUAUCAGCUUCUAAAUAAAUUGGCCACAUACUCUAAAUUUUUUAAGCACUGUUGAAAUUUUUUCUGCUCUAGGGAGAUCAGUUUUCUUCAUAAUAGCAGUUCUGUGUUGAUGAAAUUGCUUUAUGGAUUCAAAGAAGGCAUUUAACAGUGCUUCGAAGAAGACCUUCACCGUGGCUCACGGCGUUCAGGGGACUCAGUCCACAGUCAGCUGGCUCGGAGGCAGAAGGGCACGGUGGAAGUAUCUGGCAGAGGAGAGCUGUUUGCGUCCUGGCGGCCAGGAACCAGAGAGUAAAGGGAGGAGCCGGGGAUGGAAGUACACACUUCAGGGUCACACCCCCCGUGAUCUACCUCUUCUGAUCAGCCCCCAUCUCCUAGUAGCACCUUUAACUAUGGGUGUAGUUCCUUUGUUACCCAGUCAACUUUGGAAAUUCCCACCUCUGAAAACUUGAGACUUUUAAGGGAUAUUCUAGGUUCAAACCGUAACAUUCCAUCCUAGGCCUGAAGAAAACUUGUGUGUAUAUCUUCAUGCAGAAUGCAUUUAGUCUAUCUCUGAGUGUUGCCACAGUUGUAAUAGUUCUGGCACUGCUGAAAUUUUCAAGUCAGGAGUCUUCUGUGGUCCUCAAGGCAAACUUAGCUGUGAGCCCCUAUAGAAAUCAGAAAGUUAAACACUUCUAACGUACGAUGGCAGAUGGUAAAGUCCCGUUUCAAAAGGGAGAAAUACAGGGAUAGGAAGGAGUCAGACUAAAGCAGGACCAAACCCCCGCAGAGUACGUAGUAAGUCUUGCAGGUUCCUGUCCAGCACCAGGUGCACGUUGUGAGAUGUGGACCCCACAGGGCUGGGGAAGCCCCCCUCCAGUCCACUACUGGUGCAGCCGUUGUGGUCCCUCCCUUGGGAUGGCUGCACUUACGGCCUUGGCUCUCUUCAGCAGACAGUGCACCUGCCUGGCUUGUCCAGCUUCCUGGGGUCUCCAGUGCCCUUCUGGAUUAACUUUCACAGUUUCCUGCGCUGCCCUCUCAGGCCUUCUGCAAUCUGGGUGGAAGCCUGCGUAGCCCCACAGCUCUUACAUUUGCACGCCCAUACCCAGCAGUCGUGGGUGACUCAGUGAUCUCCCUUGACCAACAGCUGGGCCUCCUUUGCGUGGCUGUAGAGGUUUCUUAGGUGCCUGGAUUCUGAGCACUGUAGAUCUCCAGGAGCCAGUCCCAUAGGCUGCCCUUCUGAGCAGGGUGCCCUGGGGGUGCUUGGCUCUUGAGGUUGUGAGGGCAAGGUCUUGCUGAUUCCUCAGAUCGCCUCGAGGCUUCUUCCUUCGUCCUGAUACAAAGUGCUUGGCUUAUUUUCAGUGUGAACCUUUUUAAUGACCAUGCCCUCCUUUGCCAAACUUUGUAUGAGUAUCCUUUCUGGGGAUACCUGUAGACUCUUCAAAUGGGUAUUUUGGCUCCUGAUUUUCACUGUAAGUCUGGCCAAAAGUAGCCAGAAGCACUCUGGCUGCAGCCGGAAGAUUCGGCUGCCUUGAAAUUUCCUCCACUAGAUUAGUCUGCCACCCUUAAUGUCAGUCUCCCACAAUAUCUCAGCACAUGGGCAAAAUGCAGACAAAUUUUUACCAGAAUGUAGCACAUGUGGCCUCUAGUGCAGCAGUCAGUGGAGUCCUUGUUUCUGACUGAAACCUUCUGAGCCUGGCCUUCACUCUACACAUUUCUAUUAGCAUUCUGGUUUUCAGAGCUUUGAUAGAAUUUCCCAUCAGACUUGCCUUAAAGCGCUCUCGGGCUUAGCUAGCAUCUCCAGAUUUUUCAAAUCUUCCUGCAAACUAGUUCCAAAGGCUUCUGAACCACAUGGUCAGGGAUGGACUUGCCUUCUGUCCACAUUUGGGAUCAGUAUUUAUGUUGCCACUUUCUUUUCACGGGGCCACAAACCUGACUUCCACAGUUUGAAAGGAGUGAUUGCUUUUGGCCCACAGUUUUUAGAAGGUUCAGCCCAUCGUCUGCCAGCUCCAAGGGGUGCCUGGAGCAGGAGUCUGCUCACACUGUAGUGGUCAGCAGGCAGCAAAGAGAACAGCCAGGGAGGCAAGCACGCCCUUCGAGGUCGUGCCCCGUGCUCCACCUCCUCCAGUUAGGCCUUGCCCUCUGGGAACACAUGUGGGUGUGACGUCAUCAUGAGUGAGUCCUCUCAUGAGUGUAGAGCCCCUGGGACCCAGUCACCAUCCAGGCCCCUUACCUGUGAGUGCGUGAGACCCUGGGGGACAUUCUAGAUCCAGACCAUGAAGUUCCUGUCACUGCGCCUGUCCAGAAUUCAGCACAUAAGCUUAAAAGGCAUCACAGGAACAUUCAGAAUGUGUCCUGGUACAGUUUUGCUGGAAAAAGCCUAUAGCCAUAGACUGAUGUUUUCUUAUUCAAAAAUUGCUUUUUUUUUAGUGUUGAAUUUCUUUUAUAUCUCUUUCACAUACACAUACUUUCCUUCCUUCCACCUUUGCCCUGUUGCUUCAUCUUUCAUCUUUUUCCUUUUCUUCCCUUGGUGAAGGGAAGCAACAGGGCUGUUGUGGUUCUAACCGGACAUCUUUACCUAAGAAGUACACAAACAGUAUGUUUCACAGUAAAAUUAGACUCACUGAAGAGUUGUUACUGUCAAGUCUAGAACACUUCGAAAUAGUCAUAAAUAGCCUUUUUUAUUCAGUGGACAAAAGAAGGCCAUACUUAACUGAUGAGCAAAUAAGCCUCCUAGUGAUUGUCCAGUGGGUAGCCAAACGUGUAUGAAAUAAACUUUAGUUAUAGAAGCGUAUCAGAGGCCUGUGGACACUGAAGGAAGAAAAUUUUGAUGUUCUGUGUAGAGGUAGUUUUGGAUACCGUUCUUAAAUGAUGACCAGGGUUUCAGUAUUACAUAAGGAAAAGGAUGUGGCUAAACUGAGGAGAAAGCAUGCAGAAAAGUGUUAGAUAUGACGUGAUGAAUGGAUAAUAGCAGAGUGUACAAAUCUACAGUAACAGAUCACUUAGAAACGGGUGAUGGGGCUGCAGAGCUCUACAGGGGCAGGGAGACCAUUGUUUCCAGGUCCAGUGGGCUGUUUAGCAUGCAGUAGUAAGACCUCAGUAAGUAUCUGUGUGGAUGGAGGGGUGGAUGAGUGAAUGAUGAGUGCAUGCAUGGAGUUUUCUGAGCAGAAGGAGCUUAGUUUACAAGCAUGCUUUUGAAAUAAAUCACUUAAGGUGAGUAGCUGCUUGAUUACACUGAGGCUGUUCUUAGGAAAAUUACAAUUUUAGUGAAUUAAAACAUGAAUAGCUAUUGCUUUCUCCCUCCCACUCCCUGUGCUGCUAUAUUUACCCUCAUCUUUCUUGAACAUGCAGUGUCAGGAAUUUGACAGAUGGUAAUUUAAUCCGGCUUUGCCAUAUUUCUGUCACUUAUCCAUAAUGUUUUGCUCAACAAAACACUCCUUUCGGGGGAGACUUGGAAGCGAAUACAGUAAGUCGCUGACCUACAAAUGCGUUCCAUGCCACGAGCAUGCUCAAAAGUCUGACUCAUUUGUGUCUGACAGAGUGAGUCUUACACGUUACAGUACACCCACGAGAGUUCACAACUCCAGUGUUUGUAAGUCAGGGACUGAAUGUACCCAAAAAAUCAGUGGACAUCUGACCAUCCGCAGGAGUCUGCAAAGCUUCAAAGUAGAUUAAGUUUGGAGACAAAUUAUUAUUAAGUUUUACAAUUCUCCAUCUUUUCUAGUAAGUGGAAGUAAUUUCUUAACUUACAGGUUUAAUAGAGUACCAUACAGUAUGUUAUGUAAUUUUUAGAUAAUUUGUCAUGCUGUGAGAAUUUUUCCUAGACGGGAAUUGCCUAAUUAUCUGGUGACGUAUUUACUCCUGUGGAAGGGAGAAGGCUUUGCUCUUCAGCCAGUCCCGUUGUUUCCCGGCUUAGACUGUACUUCUAACAUGGACAGUAGCAGUAGCCUAACUGCCUUUUCUGGCUGUUGGUAUGCUGCCUAGUUUGCCAUACGUACUACCGCCACAUUGAUCUUUAGAAGUACUUCUUCGACUUUGUUUCUCAAAAAGUUUCUUUGACUCCAUCAUUCAAGUCUUAUCUUUUCUAUUCAAUGGCUGUCACUGACUGAACACAUGCUAUGUGCCGGGCUUGUUGAAGUUGUCGCUUUCUGGUCCCACUGGUUGAAAUACUCUUUGCUUUUUUUGUUUUUGUUUUUCUUCCGGUAUCAGGAAUCGAACUCACGACCUUGCGCUUGCCAGGCAGGCACUUUGCUGCUGAGCUAAAUCCCCAGCCCCGAAAUACUCCUUUCUUGCCCAUCAUUCUAAUUUCUACAAGACCAGAACUGAUUCAGCUUUUAAGCACAUUUCUCAUGAUCACAUACAUCAUGAAUUAGGCCCAGUGCUCUUCUCCUUUGUCUUUCCUUAACAGAAUUAAAGUAUAUUUUUUCAUUACAGUUCAUUAUUAGUAAUUCUCUUACGGUACUUUCUACCUUGUGUUAUGGUUAUAUUGAUCCAUUGUCUCUUCUUCUUCUAUUGUAAGUCUUUUGAUCAUAGAUGUCUCUGAUUAUUAUAGUAUGUAGUCUGUUUCCUGGUUUAUUAAAUAUAUAUAGUACUUGAAUAAUUGGAUAUAUAUCAGUAAUCUUUAUGUUCAGGGUUUUGAGUGAAAUGACCACUUAUAUGUACUAAUUUAAUUUUAUGUUGCUAAAUGUUGAAGGCUAGAUAUCAUUAAUUAAUUUUUGAAAUGUCCUUACCUAAGCUAGACAUGGUAGUACACUCCCAGCACUCUAGGAGGCUGAGGCAGGGUGAUGGCAAGUUCGAUCUCAGCUUGGGCAAUUGAGCAAGAUCCUCUCUCAAAAUAAAAAGUGCUUGGGAUGUAAUUUAGUGUGAAUGCUGUGGGUUCAAUCCCCAGAACAGCAAAAAAAAAAAAAAAAAAA
Chinchilla lanigera (long-tailed chinchilla) is the source of this 6127-nucleotide long non-coding RNA. RefSeq lists it as uncharacterized. The transcript is spliced from 2 exons. The record is from RefSeq and is a predicted model, not a curated record. Lineage: Eukaryota; Metazoa; Chordata; Mammalia; Rodentia; Chinchillidae.